GUGGGGAAUAUUGGACAAUGGGCGAAAGCCUGAUCCAGCCAUGCCGCGUGUGUGAAGAAGGUCUUCGGAUUGUAAAGCACUUUAAGUUGGGAGGAAGGGCAGUAAGUUAAUACCUUGCUGUUUUGACGUUACCAACAGAAUAAGCACCGGCUAACUUCGUGCCAGCAGCCGCGGUAAUACGCAGGGUGCAAGCGUUAAUCGGAAUUACUGGGCGUAAAGCGCGCGUAGGUGGUUUUGUAAGUUGGAGGUGAAAUCCCCGGGCUCAACCUGGGAACUGCCUCCAAAACUGCAUGACUAGAGUACGGUAGAGGGUAGUGGAAUUUCCUGUGUAGCGGUGAAAUGCGUAGAUAUAGGAAGGAACACCAGUGGCGAAGGCGACUACCUGGACUGAUACUGACACUGAGGUGCGAAAGCGUGGGGAGCAAACAGGAUUAGAAACCCCGGUAGUCC
Molecule: ribosomal RNA, 450 nt
Filed under: uncultured bacterium
Lineage: Bacteria
Description: partial 16S ribosomal RNA
Rfam family: Bacterial small subunit ribosomal RNA
Source: RNAcentral